RNAcentral lists this ribosomal RNA (480 nucleotides) under uncultured organism. RNAcentral's name for it is "partial 16S ribosomal RNA". It matches the Rfam family "Bacterial small subunit ribosomal RNA", at positions 329 to 800 of the family's 1533-position model. The record is from RNAcentral.
ACGUACACUCCUGCGGGAGGCAGCAGUGGGGAAUAUUGCACAAUGGGCGCAAGCCUGAUGCAGCCAUGCCGCGUGUAUGAAGAAGGCCUUCGGGUUGUAAAGUACUUUCAGCGGGGAGGAAGGCGAUAAGGUUAAUAACCUUGUUGAUUGACGUUACCCGCAGAAGAAGCACCGGCUAACUCCGCGCCAGCAGCCGCGGUAAUACGGAGGGUGCAAGCGUUAAUCGGAAUUACUGGGCGUAAAGAGCACGCAGGCGGUCUGUCAAGUCGGAUGUGAAAUCCCCGGGCUCAACCUGGGAACUGCAUUCGAAACUGGCAGGCUAGAGUCUUGUAGAGGGGGGUAGAAUUCCAGGUGUAGCGGUGAAAUGCGUAGAGAUCUGGAGGAAUACCGGUGGCGAAGGCGGCCCCCUGGACAAAGACUGACGCUCAGGUGCGAAAGCGUGGGGAGCAAACAGGAUUAGAAACCCUGGUAGUCCCAUGA